GCAGCGCUUCGUUAGGCGAGGUUCCUGCACGAAUACAGGCCACUGAUCUGACGACGUCGAGAGACGCCCAAGGUUAGGACAGGUCCUCCCGGAUUAAGGGUUGACUCAAAGUGGCUUCCGGUUGCCGAGGGCAGCGGAUACGUCGUGCAGUGCCAAAGCUCUUACGUGGAGGCGACAA
Molecule: small RNA, 178 nt
Filed under: Arthrobacter woluwensis
Lineage: Bacteria; Bacillati; Actinomycetota; Actinomycetes; Micrococcales; Micrococcaceae
Description: Magnesium sequence
Rfam family: M-box riboswitch aptamer (ykoK leader)
About the family: M-box riboswitch, also know as ykoK leader is described as a metaloregulatory RNA that sense divalent metals and function as a genetic control element of genes related to divalent metal transport in bacteria. It was first reported upstream of the B.subtilis ykoK gene and genes with related functions in other bacteria.
Source: Rfam by way of RNAcentral